AACGAACGCUGGCGGCAUGCCUAACACAUGCCAGUCGAACGAGACCUUCGGGUCUAGUGGCGCACGGGUGCGUAACGCGUGGGAACCUGCCCUUAGGUUCGGAAUAACUCCCCGAAAGGGGUGCUAAUACCGGAUAAUGUCUUCGGACCAAAGAUUUAUCGCCUUUGGAUGGGCCCGCGUUGGAUUAGCUAGUUGGUAGGGUAAAAGCCUACCAAGGCGACGAUCCAUAGCUGGUCUGAGAGUAUGAUCAGCCACACUGGGACUGAGACACGGCCCAGACUCCUACGGGAGGCAGCAGUGGGGAAUAUUGGACAAUGGGCGAAAGCCUGAUCCAGCAAUGCCGCGUGAGUGAUGAAGGCCUUAGGGUUGUAAAGCUCUUUUACCCGGGAUGAUAAUGACAGUACCGGGAGAAUAAGCGCCGGCUAACUCCGUG
This 433-nucleotide ribosomal RNA is filed under the name uncultured bacterium. Its description in RNAcentral is "partial 16S ribosomal RNA". It matches the Rfam family "Bacterial small subunit ribosomal RNA", at positions 29 to 507 of the family's 1533-position model. The record is from RNAcentral.